This 115-nucleotide microRNA precursor is filed under the name Hordeum vulgare. Its description in RNAcentral is "microRNA MIR1122". It matches the Rfam family "MIR1120/MIR1122 microRNA precursor family". Lineage: Eukaryota; Viridiplantae; Streptophyta; Magnoliopsida; Poales; Poaceae. The record is from RNAcentral.
GUUGUACUCCCUAUGGUCCAUAUUAUUUGUCGCUGAAUUGGAUUUAUCUAGACGUAUAUUAGUGCUAGAUACAUCCAUUUGAGCGACAAGUAAUAUGGAUCAGAGGGAGUAGUUG